UACGAGGGGGGCGAGCGUUGUUCGGAAUUAUUGGGCGUAAAGGGCGCGUAGGCGGUGCGGUAAGUCACCUGUGAAACCUCUGGGCUUAACUCAGAGCCUGCAGGCGAAACUGCCGUGCUGGAGUGUGGGAGAGGUGAGUGGAAUUCCUGGUGUAGCGGUGAAAUGCGCAGAUAUCAGGAAGAACACCCGUGGCGAAGGCGGCUCUCUGGGACGGUACUGACGCUGAGACGCGAAAGCGUGGGGAGCGAACAGG
RNAcentral lists this ribosomal RNA (253 nucleotides) under uncultured bacterium. RNAcentral describes it as "partial 16S ribosomal RNA". It matches the Rfam family "Bacterial small subunit ribosomal RNA", at positions 524 to 776 of the family's 1533-position model. The record is from RNAcentral.